RNAcentral lists this ribosomal RNA (494 nucleotides) under uncultured bacterium. Its description in RNAcentral is "partial 16S ribosomal RNA". It matches the Rfam family "Bacterial small subunit ribosomal RNA", at positions 28 to 507 of the family's 1533-position model. The record is from RNAcentral.
GACGAACGCUGGCGGCGGGCUUAACACAUGCAAGUCGAGGGGAAAGGCCUGCGUUAGCUUGCGUAUUACGGGCGCCCGAGUGGCCAACGGGUGAGUAACACGAGAGAAAUCUGCCAUCAACUUGGGUAUACCCCUGGGAAACAGGGCCUAAUUCCCGAUACGUCUGACGGGUGGUUCCUGAGGGGGUAAACGAUUUACUAGUGGUUGGGGGUGAGCUCGCGGCUUAUCAGCUUGUCGGUGUGGUAAUGGCCUACCAAGGCGGCUACGGGUAGCCGGCCGAGGAGAGUGACCGGCCUCAUUGGGACUGAGAUACAGACGAGGAAGCUACGGGAGUCAGCAGGGGGAAAGGUUGGAGAAUGGGCAGACGCUUAACGCAGGCACGCCGCGUGGGGGAUGACGGCCUUCGGGGUGUAAACUCCUUUGGACGGCGAGGAAGGCACCUUGUGGGAAGGGUGGUGACGGUAGUGGUAGAAGAAGCACCGGCUAACUACGUG